RNAcentral lists this long non-coding RNA (340 nucleotides) under Coffea arabica (coffee). Its description in RNAcentral is "long non-coding RNA (CARA_LNC006313)". Lineage: Eukaryota; Viridiplantae; Streptophyta; Magnoliopsida; Gentianales; Rubiaceae. The record is from RNAcentral.
GUAUAGAUGAAUGGAAUGGAUGAAUGUACGUCACCACACUAGUCCAACGCUAGUUGUGGCUUCUUUUAUCGUUUCCACUAGUCCAACGCUAGUCGGAAUUCAUAGAAUGGGCUAGUCCAAUGCUAGACCCAAUAGGUUUUUUUUUCCUUUUUUCAUUAAGUGCAUGAUCACCACAUAUCACGCAUUUUUCCUUAGUUUGUCAUUUGGUAUGUUCCUCAAACCCCUUCCCCUUCAUUUUAGGACUUGCAUCUCAUGCUAGUUAGGGUUCAUUUGCGUGAAAAUCCCUUCCGAUAAGGGAAACGAGCGAGUGUGGCUACUCGAUAGCCUUAGCACGCUAGUU